Long non-coding RNA from Osmia bicornis bicornis, 487 nucleotides. RefSeq lists it as uncharacterized. The transcript has 3 exons. Lineage: Eukaryota; Metazoa; Arthropoda; Insecta; Hymenoptera; Megachilidae. The record is from RefSeq and is a predicted model, not a curated record.
ACCAAGCAAGCGAUAUCUUUUUCCCACCAAAAGCUGCCUUCAAUGUCAGGAAAAUAUCCAUUGCUCUUACCUAAUCGGAUAAUACAAUAUAUUGUGAAAAGAAGCGUUGGAAUAUCUUACCUGUUGAUCUUCUACUUCUGCAACAUUUAGUGUACGUGAUUAAAGCCGCUAGAUAAAAUAAAGAGGACAAUGUUUCUGCUCUUCCCACCACUCCUGUAACCUUAAGACACGAUUAUCCACUGACAAUGCAUCUAAACGCGAACUAGGAACUACGAUGCGAUCGAUCGCUCGACGUCGACCAUUCGAAUCUGGUGGAUACAGUAUCGAGACAUUGUCGCCGAAGGGAAGAACAAGGACUAAAAAUAAUUACGAAAUAAUAUCCUCGUAUAAUUUCAAGAUGUUACAUAGAAUAUCUAACGGAAAGAUCUAAGAGGUAAUUUCUACCUGAAAUACAAUAAGCACACUCCGACAUGUAAGAUAACAUUAA